RNAcentral lists this ribosomal RNA (464 nucleotides) under uncultured Klebsiella sp. Its description in RNAcentral is "bacterial SSU rRNA". It matches the Rfam family "Bacterial small subunit ribosomal RNA", at positions 338 to 795 of the family's 1533-position model. The record is from RNAcentral. Lineage: Bacteria; Pseudomonadati; Pseudomonadota; Gammaproteobacteria; Enterobacterales; Enterobacteriaceae.
CCUACGGGAGGCUGCAGUGGGGAAUAUUGCACAAUGGGCGCAAGCCUGAUGCAGCCAUGCCGCGUGUGUGAAGAAGGCCUUCGGGUUGUAAAGCACUUUCAGCGGGGAGGAAGGCGGUGAGGUUAAUAACCUCAUCGAUUGACGUUACCCGCAGAAGAAGCACCGGCUAACUCCGUGCCAGCAGCCGCGGUAAUACGGAGGGUGCAAGCGUUAAUCGGAAUUACUGGGCGUAAAGCGCACGCAGGCGGUCUGUCAAGUCGGAUGUGAAAUCCCCGGGCUCAACCUGGGAACUGCAUUCGAAACUGGCAGGCUAGAGUCUUGUAGAGGGGGGUAGAAUUCCAGGUGUAGCGGUGAAAUGCGUAGAGAUCUGGAGGAAUACCGGUGGCGAAGGCGGCCCCCGGGACAAAGACUGACGCUCAGGUGCGAAAGCGUGGGGAGCAAACAGGAUUAAUACCCCUGUAGUC